UGGGGAAUAUUGCACAAUGGGCGCAAGCCUGAUGCAGCCAUGCCGCGUGUGUGAAGAAGGCCUUCGGGUUGUAAAGCACUUUCAGCGAGGAGGAAGGGUUCAGUGUUAAUAGCACUGUUCAUUGACGUUACUCGCAGAAGAAGCACCGGCUAACUCCGUGCCAGCAGCCGCGGUAAUACGGAGGGUGCAAGCGUUAAUCGGAAUUACUGGGCGUAAAGCGCACGCAGGCGGUUUGUUAAGUCAGAUGUGAAAUCCCCGCGCUUAACGUGGGAACUGCAUUUGAAGCUGGCAAGCUAGAGUCUUGUAGAGGGGGGUAGAAUUCCGAGGUGUAGCG
This 334-nucleotide ribosomal RNA is filed under the name uncultured bacterium. RNAcentral's name for it is "partial 16S ribosomal RNA". It matches the Rfam family "Bacterial small subunit ribosomal RNA", at positions 355 to 680 of the family's 1533-position model. The record is from RNAcentral.